This 423-nucleotide ribosomal RNA is filed under the name uncultured bacterium. Its description in RNAcentral is "bacterial SSU rRNA". It matches the Rfam family "Bacterial small subunit ribosomal RNA", at positions 207 to 622 of the family's 1533-position model. The record is from RNAcentral.
AAGACCUUGCACUUUUGGAGCGGCCGAUGUCUGAUUAGCUAGUUGGUGGGGUAAAGGCCUACCAAAGCUUCGAUCAGUAGCUGGUCUGAGAGGACGGCCAGCCACACUGGGACUGAGACACGGCCCAGACUCCUACGGGAGGCAGCAGUGGGGAAUUUUGGACAAUGGGCGCAAGUCUGAUCCAGCCAUGCCGCGUGAGUGAAGAAGGCCUUCGGGUUGUAAAGCUCUUUCAGCCGGGAAGAAAAGGCUGCGACUAAUAAUCGCAGUUCAUGACGGUACCGGAAGAAGAAGCACCGGCUAACUACGUGCCAGCAGCCGCGGUAAUACGUAGGGUGCGAGCGUUAAUCGGAAUUACUGGGCGUAAAGGGUGCGCAGGCGGUUUUGUAAGUCAGAUGUGAAAUCCCCGGGCUUAACCUGGGAACU